This 257-nucleotide ribosomal RNA is filed under the name uncultured Erythrobacteraceae bacterium. RNAcentral's name for it is "partial 16S ribosomal RNA". It matches the Rfam family "Bacterial small subunit ribosomal RNA", at positions 1 to 287 of the family's 1533-position model. Lineage: Bacteria; Pseudomonadati; Pseudomonadota; Alphaproteobacteria; Sphingomonadales; Erythrobacteraceae. The record is from RNAcentral.
UAGUGAGUUUGAUCCUGGCUCAGAACGAACGCUGGCGGCAUGCUUAACACAUGCAAGUCGAACGAGACCUUCGGGUCUAGUGGCGCACGGGUGCGUAACGCGUGGGAACCUGCCCGUUAGGUUCGGAAUAACUCAGAGAAACUUUGAGCUAAUACCGGAUAAUGUCUUCGGACCAAAGAUUUAUCGCCUUUGGAUGGGCCCGCGUAGGAUUAGCUUGUUGGUGGGGUAAUGGCCUACCGAAGGCGACGAUCCUUAGC